CAUGAGUAUCCUGAGUACCGG
This 21-nucleotide non-coding RNA is filed under the name Arabidopsis thaliana (thale cress). The record is from RNAcentral. Lineage: Eukaryota; Viridiplantae; Streptophyta; Magnoliopsida; Brassicales; Brassicaceae.